RNAcentral lists this long non-coding RNA (782 nucleotides) under Olea europaea subsp. europaea. The record is from RNAcentral. Lineage: Eukaryota; Viridiplantae; Streptophyta; Magnoliopsida; Lamiales; Oleaceae.
GUGAGAGUUGAACUAUUUAUCUGGAACCUUGUAUUGUUUUAAGACCAUAUCUUAGAAUCUGUGGAUAUGUCUAGGGGAUAAGCUGUGCAGAUGUGGCUGAUAUCUGUGUGAAAGCAUUGCAUGAUUCAACUGCAAGAAAUAAAAGCUUUGAUGUGAGUACUUCUUCAUUGGAUUUACUCGUCUGUGACAAAAUGGAGCUAAUUUCUCCUCGUUUCUGACCAGGUAUGUUACGAAUACGUUGCCGAACCUGGGAAGGAGCUUUACGAGCUGGUAAGACUACACUUCGUUUGCCUUUUUAUAUUCUUAUUGUAUCUUUUUGGUUGAGUGGUUCUAACUUAUAAAGGCACAAAUUCUCUUCUUUCUAUAGGUUGCACAUUUACCAGACAAAGCAAAUAACUACUUAACUCCGGCUCUCUCUGUUCUUGAGAAGAACACUUGAUAAAAUUCUGCUGUUAAAAGUAUAUAUUUUUUCUUAUGUUUCUUUGUUCUUCAAAAGAAGGUAUACGUUGUCAAAUUGGUGAAGCAAUUUGUCAAGAACUUUGAGAAAUCUUUCAUUGUGCAAAUUGCCUGAGCAAUGAGUACAUUCUCUGCAGAGUUAUAUUUACGUAUAUAUAUAAAUCAGCUUUGUAUAUUUUUGGAUAUGAAACUGAAAAUAUGAAAUUCCUUCAUUGCACUGGUUGAGAAGUGUUUCUUACAUUUGAAUGUGAAGAAUGGUGCUCUUUAUGACUGUAAUGAUGAGAAUUCUCUGUGAAAUUUAUGCGUUGGAUAUCCAAGACGACCCU